AAGGAACUUCAGUUAUUGCUAUAUCAAAAAAUAAGUUCAUACAUUUCAUACUUGAUAUGAUGAAUACAUAGAAUAUUCUAGAGAGCCUUCUUUUUGAGUGGAUUAUUUUGGUGAGGUAAUGUCUUGCCCGUGCGAUUCAUGUUAUUUCAGAUAGUUUUGAAGAAUAGUUAUGUUGGCAUUUCUCCAACAGUUAAGUUUGAAUUGUGUCAAUCUGCUGAUAUAGUUGACAGAUCAUUGCUACUGAGCGUAUGCUAUAUCAUUCAUUUUGGAUUAAUAGCUGAGCUAAAGUACUUGAUCAUUGGUGAUUAGCCUUUUGCUAAAGUUAGAAUUUUCUGUAGAUUUAGGUCAUUAGACUUCAAUGAGGAUGACACUUUCUGCUUGCUUGGUAAAUCAAUCUGUAUAUACUAGUAGUUUUUGGGUGCAAGGAAUAUUGUGCAAAAGGACUGCAAUUUGAUUAGGAGGUACAGAGUUUACGAUUUUAUGCAUGACCGGAUAUUAUGAUUAAUCUGUAGUCCUUCCCUGGGAUGUGAGUCAAUAUGGCAAGUUUGGGAUAAUAGUAACCAUGUCUGGAAUCUUUAGGAUGGAAUAUGAAUUAGCCUUGUGAAAGCAUGUCAGAUGAU
RNAcentral lists this unclassified non-coding RNA (620 nucleotides) under Hevea brasiliensis (rubber tree). Lineage: Eukaryota; Viridiplantae; Streptophyta; Magnoliopsida; Malpighiales; Euphorbiaceae. The record is from RNAcentral.